UACGUAGGGUGCAAGCGUUGUCCGGAAUUAUUGGGCGUAAAGAGCUCGUAGGCGGUUUGUCGCGUCUGCUGUGAAAACUCGGGGCUCAACUCCGAGCUUGCAGUGGGUACGGGCAGACUAGAGUGCGGUAGGGGAGACUGGAAUUCCUGGUGUAGCGGUGGAAUGCGCAGAUAUCAGGAGGAACACCGGUGGCGAAGGCGGGUCUCUGGGCCGUAACUGACGCUGAGACGCGAAAGCGUGGGGAGCAAACAGG
This 253-nucleotide ribosomal RNA is filed under the name uncultured bacterium. RNAcentral's name for it is "partial 16S ribosomal RNA". It matches the Rfam family "Bacterial small subunit ribosomal RNA", at positions 524 to 776 of the family's 1533-position model. The record is from RNAcentral.